CGGCUGGUGACCCAUGACCAGGGAGGAGGCCUCACGGAGAGGAGAUCACUGGAAAGUGACCUCAUCAGAGCAGCAAGUGACCUGCACUGGGUGAGACCCAGAGCUGGAGCAAGACAUCAGGCCGUGCGAGGCCCUUCCGGGAAGAAAGCAGACAUGUGUGCCCACCCUGAGCAAGCACUGCUGUCCCACAGCUCAAUUCCACUUAAUGAACAUCUUAAAGCUACAGGAUAUGCUUGGCAAAGAGGAUGAACACAGCAGCCUUGUCCCAGAGGGCUCACAAGUGGCUUAGAGGAAGAGACCGACCUCAAUCCUGCCAACCAUCAGGUGCCCACUGGGCACCAACAACUCCCCCAUCAGCACUGGGAACUUGACACAGCCUCAUGCACACUUAUAACAGCUGGGAAGGGGCACAGAGGCCCUGAGAGGUGA
This is a non-coding RNA of Odocoileus virginianus texanus, 429 nucleotides long. The record is from RefSeq and is a predicted model, not a curated record. Lineage: Eukaryota; Metazoa; Chordata; Mammalia; Artiodactyla; Cervidae.